GAUACCUACGGGAGGCAGCAGUGAGGAAUAUUGGUCAAUGGGCGGGAGCCUGAACCAGCCAAGUCGCGUGAAGGAAGAAGGUACUUAGUAUUGUAAACUUCUUUUGUCGGGGAACAAAGGCGGAGACGCGUCUCCGGAUGAGUGUACCCGAAGAAAAAGCAUCGGCUAACUCCGUGCCAGCAGCCGCGGUAAUACGGAGGAUGCGAGAGUUAUCCGGAUUUAUUGGGUUUAAAGGGUGCGCAGGCGGGAGAUCAAGUCUGAAGUGAAAAUCCAGCGCUUAACGUUGGAAGAGCUUUGGAAACUGC
This 305-nucleotide ribosomal RNA is filed under the name uncultured bacterium. RNAcentral's name for it is "bacterial SSU rRNA". It matches the Rfam family "Bacterial small subunit ribosomal RNA", at positions 334 to 636 of the family's 1533-position model. The record is from RNAcentral.